This 171-nucleotide ribosomal RNA is filed under the name uncultured Smithella sp. RNAcentral describes it as "partial 16S ribosomal RNA". It matches the Rfam family "Bacterial small subunit ribosomal RNA", at positions 1212 to 1382 of the family's 1533-position model. The record is from RNAcentral. Lineage: Bacteria; Pseudomonadati; Thermodesulfobacteriota; Syntrophia; Syntrophales; Smithellaceae.
GGUUACACACGUACUACAAUGGGUGGUACAAAGAGAUGCAAUCUCGCAAGAGCAAGCAAACCUCAAAAAGCCAUCCUCAGUUCGGAUUGGAGUCUGCAACUCGACUCCAUGAAGUUGGAAUCGCUAGUAAUCGCGGAUCAGCACGCCGCGGUGAAUACGUUCCCGGGCCUU